This 449-nucleotide ribosomal RNA is filed under the name uncultured bacterium. RNAcentral's name for it is "bacterial SSU rRNA". It matches the Rfam family "Bacterial small subunit ribosomal RNA", at positions 354 to 796 of the family's 1533-position model. The record is from RNAcentral.
GUCGAGAAUUUUUCACAAUGGGCGCAAGCCUGAUGGAGCGACGCCGCGUGGGGGAUGAAGGGUUUCGAUCCGUAAACCCCUGUCAUUUGCGAACAAACCUUAGGCAAUAAGACUGCCUGAGCUGAUUGUAGUGAAAGAGGAAGGGACGGCUAACUCUGUGCCAGCAGCCGCGGUAAUACAGAGGUCCCGAGCGUUGUUCGGAUUCACUGGGCGUAAAGGGUGCGUAGGUGGCCGGGAAAGUUUGGUGUGAAAGCUCGGAGCUCAACUCCGAAAAGGCAUUGAAUACUAUUCGGCUGGAGGGUCGGAGGGGAGACUGGAAUUCUCGGUGUAGCAGUGAAAUGCGUAGAUAUCGAGAGGAACACCAGUGGCGAAGGCGAGUCUCUGGACGACACCUGACACUGAGGCACGAAAGCUAGGGGAGCAAACAGGAUUAGAAACCCUGGUAGUCC